AGAGUUUGAUCAUGGCUCAGGAUGAACGCUGGCGGCGUGCCUAACACAUGCAAGUCGAACGAAGCACAUUUACCGGAUUCUUCGGAAGAAAGUGAUUGUGACUGAGUGGCGGACGGGUGAGUAACGCGUGGGGAACCUGCCUCAUACAGGGGGAUAACAGUUAGAAAUGACUGCUAAUACCGCAUAAGACCACAGCACCGCAUGGUGGAGUGGUAAAAACUCCGGUGGUAUGAGAUGGCCCCGCGUCUGAUUAGCUGGUUGGUGAGGUAAGGGCUCACCAAGGCGACGAUCAGUAGCCGACCUGAGAGGGUGACCGGCCACAUUGGGACUGAGACACGGCCCAAACUCCUACGGGAGGCAGCAGUGGGGAAUAUUGCACAAUGGGGGAAACCCUGAUGCAGCGACGCCGCGUGAAGGAAGAAGUAUUUCGGUAUGUAAACUUCUAUCAGCAGGGAAGAAAAUGACGGUACCUGACUAAGAAGCCCCGGCUAACUACGUGCCAGCAGCCGCGGUAAUACGUAGGGGGCAAGCGUUAUCCGGAUUUACUGGGUGUAAAGGGAGCGUAGACGGUAUGGCAAGUCUGAUGUGAAAACCCGAGGCUCAACCGCGGGAUUGCAUUGGAAACUGCCAGACUAGAGUGUCGGAGAGGCAAGUGGAAUUCCUAGUGUAGCGGUGAAAUGCGUAGAUAUUAGGAGGAACACCAGUGGCGAAGGCGGCUUGCUGGACGAUGACUGACGUUGAGGCUCGAAAGCGUGGGGAGCAAACAGGAUUAGAUACCCUGGUAGUCCACGCCGUAAACG
This 800-nucleotide ribosomal RNA is filed under the name uncultured bacterium. RNAcentral describes it as "bacterial SSU rRNA". It matches the Rfam family "Bacterial small subunit ribosomal RNA", at positions 8 to 808 of the family's 1533-position model. The record is from RNAcentral.